This 493-nucleotide ribosomal RNA is filed under the name uncultured bacterium. RNAcentral's name for it is "partial 16S ribosomal RNA". It matches the Rfam family "Bacterial small subunit ribosomal RNA", at positions 29 to 523 of the family's 1533-position model. The record is from RNAcentral.
AUUGAACGCUGGCGGCAUGCUUUACACAUGCAAGUCGAACGGUAACAGGUUAAGCUGACGAGCGGCGAACGGGUGAGUAAUGCAUCGGAACGUGCCCGGUCGUGGGGGAUAACGCAGCGAAAGCUGCGCUAAUACCGCAUACGAUCUGAGGAUGAAAGCGGGGGACCGUAAGGCCUCGCGCGAUCGGAGCGGCCGAUGUCAGAUUAGGUAGUUGGUGGGGUAAAGGCCCACCAAGCCGACGAUCUGUAGCUGGUCUGAGAGGACGACCAGCCACACUGGGACUGAGACACGGCCCAGACUCCUACGGGAGGCAGCAGUGGGGAAUUUUGGACAAUGGGCGAAAGCCUGAUCCAGCAAUGCCGCGUGCAGGAAGAAGGCCUUCGGGUUGCAAACUGCUUUUGUACGGAGCGAAAAGGUCCUUUCUAAUACAAGGGGCUCAUGACGGUACCGUAAGAAUAAGCACCGGCUAACUACGUGCCAGCAGCCGCCGUAA